GAAAUGCGAUACGUCAUGCGAAUUGCAAAACCAGUGAGUCAUCAAAACUUUGAACGCAACUUGCACUUCCCUUUGGGGAGUAUGUCUGUUGGAGUGCUUGUUCAUCCCCACCACAAACCCCAUUUCCUAAUAAAAGUGGGGAUUCAUUUGUGAAGCCUACCUAUUCAGUUACUCAGUAGCUCAAUAGAGUAUAGAUGAAUAAAAAUCAAAUAUCCGAUCCGAAUCAGUUUACUCUUCGGAGUAAAUACGAUUUAGGAACGCGACGUCAUAGUGUUAAAACUUGAAUCGUGUUAAUAAAAUCUUAAUGAUGAUCUCGGUAUAUUUUUCGAUCGAGCCUCCAAUCAGUCAAGAAUACCCGCUGAAUUUAA
This 368-nucleotide unclassified non-coding RNA is filed under the name uncultured fungus. RNAcentral describes it as "sequence contains ITS1". The stretch from base 1 to 99 matches the Rfam family "5.8S ribosomal RNA", at positions 50 to 154 of the family's 154-position model. Lineage: Eukaryota; Fungi. The record is from RNAcentral.